GAAUCCGAUGUUUCAUUUAAACUGGUUUGGGAAAACCAAAUAUAUUAUAUAUUUUGCUUUGUUCAAAAUAAGGUUUUCUAAUAAAUUAUGUUUUUAUCAGAUAUGACAGAAUCUUUUUUAAAAUCUCUUCAAUAUGCUUUUAUUGCUUUUGAGAGGUUUUGUUACUUUGAGUAAAAUUAAGUGUUCAUAACAGACGGGUAGUCAUGAUUGAGUUCAUUGUGUUUGAAUACUACAGCAUGGAAUAACAAAUACGAAUAAGCUAAUUAUUUUUUUUUCUCAUUAUUUUUUUUUGAUAUUCUUAUUAGCUUAGUUACGAUUAAUAGGAGUAGCUUUGGGGGCAUUCGUAUUCAGAUGUCAGAGGUGAAAUUCUAAGAUUUUCUGGAGACGGACUACUGCGAAAGCAUUUGCCUAAUCUAUUUCCAUUAAUCAAGAACGAAAGUUAAGGGAGUGAAGACGAUCAGAUACCGUCGUAAUCUUAACCAUAAACUAUACCGACUAGGUGUUGGAUGAAUAUAAAAAAUAUAUAAAUAUGUAGCAUUUCUUAGAGAAUGUUGAUUUUAUAUUAGAAUUGCUUCCUUCAGUACCUUAUGAGAAAUCAAAGUCUUUGGGUUCUGGGGCGAGUAUUCGCGCAAGCGAGAAAGUUAAAAGAAUUGACGGAAGGGCACCACCAGGCGUGGAGCUUGCGGCUUAAUUCGACUCAACACGGGAAAACUCACUAGUUUAAGACAAGAGUAGGAU
RNAcentral lists this ribosomal RNA (738 nucleotides) under Plasmodium falciparum (malaria parasite P. falciparum). RNAcentral's name for it is "partial 18S ribosomal RNA". It matches the Rfam family "Eukaryotic small subunit ribosomal RNA", at positions 636 to 1240 of the family's 1831-position model. The record is from RNAcentral. Lineage: Eukaryota; Apicomplexa; Aconoidasida; Haemosporida; Plasmodiidae.